RNAcentral lists this ribosomal RNA (400 nucleotides) under uncultured bacterium. Its description in RNAcentral is "bacterial SSU rRNA". It matches the Rfam family "Bacterial small subunit ribosomal RNA", at positions 355 to 747 of the family's 1533-position model. The record is from RNAcentral.
UAGGGAAUCUUCCGCAAUGGGCGAAAGCCUGACGGAGCAACGCCGCGUGAGUGAAGAAGGAUUUCGGUUCGUAAAGCUCUGUUGUUAGGGAAGAAUGGAUAUGUAGUAACUAUACAUGUACGAGACGGUACCUAACCAGAAAGCCACGGCUAACUACGUGCCAGCAGCCGCGGUAAUACGUAGGUGGCAAGCGUUGUCCGGAAUUAUUGGGCGUAAAGCGCGCGCAGGUGGUUUAAUAAGUCUGAUGUGAAAGCCCACGGCUCAACCGUGGAGGGUCAUUGGAAACUGUUAAACUUGAGUGCAGGAGAGAAAAGUGGAAUUCCUAGUGUAGCGGUGAAAUGCGUAGAGAUUAGGAGGAACACCAGUGGCGAAGGCGGCUUUUUGGCCUGUAACUGACACU